CCAGAAUUGUUGAUGUCACAGGGGAGGGUGGGGCUGAAAGUCUCAGGUCUUCCUCUGGCCUCAUGCUGCCUCCCCAGAGAUCAUCUAAGGGAGCUGCAUAAAGACUCUCACCACAUAACCUGCGUGACUGAAGCAGCAGACACUGAUGUCUUCAUGGGUCUGGAGGUAGAAGAGCAAGACCAGGGCUUCAGCAGGGUUGAUUCCUCUGCCUGUGGCUUUCACAGGUGCCUUCUCUCCAUGUCUUCACAUGCUCCUCUCUCUGGAUGGAAAGCUCCUUGAGGCUAGAAUGCUUCUACCACGUUUGUGGCUCCUGCUUGAGUUGCAUCUUGAUGGGUGCACAAGAAGCCCUUAGAGCUUGUUCAUUCCAUCCACCAGGAGUCUGCAGCUCACGGCACUGCCACCUAGACACCAGGGAAUGUCACGCUGUCUUUCAGCAAAAGUGGAUUGAGUCUGAACAGCUAUGGGAUGGUAGAGACCAUUGCAAAAAGCAUACGCCUGCUUCCAUGUACUGGCAUUACUGGGAGAGCAGGAAUUUAUAUUUCUCUGCCCAUUUGAACAUCUAGUGGAGUCACAUGACCACUUCUUACCAAUGAGGCGAGGAAGCUGCGAGGGCUCCUGGUAGAAGGCAUUGUUUCUGGCGGUGGAGGAGAGGAAGGCUGGUGCUUGUCAAGGACCCAAGUCCUGGCAGGGACAGAAGGAUCCAAAGACCCAAGUCCUGGCAGGGACAGAAGGACCCAAAGACCCAAGUCCUGGAAGGGACAGAAGGACCAGAGGAACCUGUGGAACCAAGCUUAGCCAAGCUGUCUUUGGAUUCUUGGAGGCUAUGCUCACCGAGUCUGCUAAUCUUGGGCACAACAGAACCGAGUCCUGGUAGGGACAGAAGGACCUGAGGAACCAAGUCCUGGCAGGGACAGAAGGCAGGAGAUCACUCCAGGUGGUUGGAACACAGUAUAGACGAUGAGGAAAUUGAGAUUGACAAGGUAAAAUGUAAAACCACAAAUCUUGAAGACAGAAGACUGGGGAUUUGAACUUCAGCUUCAAGUUGUUGAUAGCGUUUGCUGUUGGAUGAGACCACUGAGGCUAGAGAAUAUAAGAAAUCAAGAUGGACUCCUUAUACUUCAGGAGCUGGGAUUUGAACCCAAGCUAGACCUUCCUCCAUCCCAACGCUCCAAAACCACUCUCUUUGAAACCAGACAACUCCAGGUUUGAAUCCAAGCUCUGCAACAUAUCUGGUGCAUGCCAAGGUUGUGUAGGUCAAGCAAUCCUCGGGGAAGAAAACUCCUACUGGGCCAAGGACAUAGCUGCAGAGAGGUCUCCCCUGAACCCACCUCUCACUUCUGAUACUUCACUGGCCCCAGACAGCAUGAGGACCUGUGGCUCCAGUGUGGCGAUCCAGAACUUCAGCCCUGGUGUUAAAGAGGUCCUGGUGCAAGUCCCGUCACGGGUGUUUUGAAGACUUGACGCAGGGCUUGCUCGCCCUGGCUCCUGGUGCUCAACUGCUCUUCUGGCUUCUUCUGUGUCCCUCAUGUGUGUCCUCUACUGUCUCACACAUUCUGGGUUUGCUGCACCAUAGGUUCUGCCUCUGCCUGGUCUGUAUUUGGCUUCAAAUCCCACGACCCACUGCUCUGUCAUUUUACAUAUUUCAUCCGAACUCCCUCUAACAAGACUUCCUGAUGGAUUUAGAAUCAUUAUUAUCCCUUUGGGGCAAGUACUUUGACUCUGGAGCCAGAAGCCCCUAGAGGUGGCUGUUCAUGGGUCAGGUGCCUAUUCACGGGCCAGUCAGCUUUGCUCGUGGCCCUGCAGGUCAUGCGAUCGGCUCUUUAGAAAAGACAGUGGAUGUGCCAGAUACUUAGAGUGGAAUAGAAUUCCUCUGCUACAGCAUCUAAUUCACUUCGUAUGUGACCUAAGACACAGACUCUGUUCAAGGAACAUCUUUACAAGAAUGAUAACAAAAGCAGUAAGAAUGACAACAGGAACAGCUUUGUCAAGCACUGACUGUUUUCCAGGCAUCAUAUUAAGCACUUUACACAAAUCAGUCCUUUCUGUCUCCAUAGUAACUUUAAUAAUUAGGAACUGUUUUUUUUUUUUUUUUCAGGGAUGAGAAAACACUCUCAAAGAUGUGAAAUAACUUUCCAAGCUGAUGUUGGGGAUGAAAUUCAAGCCCCGAUAGGUCAGACUCCGAACAGGGGUGUUUCACUCAGAACAAACCCGUGGAGUAGGACUUAACAUCGUGUCGAGCAGGCCUCCCAGGGAUGCUAAAAGGCCUCCUGGUGGUCAUGCUGACUGUACUACCUCAUCCUGUGAUCUUGGGGGUCCCUUCUUCUUUCCAAGCCUCUGUCUUCACAACCUCUAGCAUUAUGCGGGUGAACUAACAUAUGAUUCCUCAUUCAUGGAUUCAACCAACCUCUAUAUUCUGUUAAGAGAAGUUGUAUAUGCUGUCUGCAAGUUGGAGGCCCAGGAAAGCUGGUGGUGUCAUUCAAACUGAAUCUGGAGGCCUAAGAACUGGGGGGCUGCUGCUGUAGAUCUCAGUCAAGAGAGGAGAAGAUUGAUCUGUCUCAACUAUAGUCACUAGGGAGGAAAGGUCAAAUUCCCCCCUUUUCUGCCUUUUUGUGCUAUCCAGAGCCACUGCACUGCAGAAGGUCUCCUGCUUCAGUGUGUCCAUUCCUAUGAUAGUCUCUUCCAAACACCCUCACAGACCCAGGGAGUGAUGAUGCUUCCUCAAAUACCAGGGCACCUGUGGUCCAGGCAUGGGACACAUAAAAUGAGCCAUCAGACAAGCUGCCUAAACUUGCUGGGAUUCAGUUUCCCCAUCUUUAAUGAGAAGAGUACUCAUAUGUGUCCCUUGUGAUUGUUAAGAAGAAUAAUGAGUUCACAGAUUUGGAACAUGUGACCCUAGUCACCACAUGAAACAUAAUCUGGAAAAGAAAACAAAGACAGGAUUCUUCUUCCUUGCUUGGAGAGAGGAAAAUUCCAGAUGCCAGGGAGGCACAGCGGAGGAGGGGCGGUACAUCUAAUCUGAAGACAUCAAGAAAGACUUCUCCAUAAGUGGGUGUGUAGGUGGAUCCUGAAAAGAGAUGCACAAAGACUUGGCCAGAUUAAGAACAGCACAACAUAGGAGAAGACACAGACAGCUGCAAUGGAGAAAUGAGGACACGGGAGUUCAUGGAGGCUGGUAGAACUGGGGCAUCCUGGUAAAGUCCUGGGCGUUAACAUUCUACCCGGUUAAACCUCAAUCCUGCUACUCACUGACUCACAUUCACAGGAAUUUGAUCCUGGCUGCCACCUCGGGAGAGAGAAAUUGUAGUUGCUACUGUCCU
Long non-coding RNA from Talpa occidentalis (Iberian mole), 3317 nucleotides. RefSeq lists it as uncharacterized. Lineage: Eukaryota; Metazoa; Chordata; Mammalia; Eulipotyphla; Talpidae. The record is from RefSeq and is a predicted model, not a curated record. The transcript is spliced from 17 exons.